Papaver somniferum (opium poppy) is the source of this 480-nucleotide long non-coding RNA. RefSeq lists it as uncharacterized. The transcript has 4 exons. The record is from RefSeq and is a predicted model, not a curated record. NCBI's taxonomy places the organism in Eukaryota, Viridiplantae, Streptophyta, Magnoliopsida, Ranunculales, Papaveraceae.
GACAGAAGAAGAAAAAUACCCCGCAAUUUAAAUUAUGCGGUUCACUCCACGACUACAAUCUUGAGCACAAGACCAUGUCACUAUACCAUCCUACCUUUUUCUUCUUCUUCUUAGAUCAGUUCUUUGUAAAACUUUAUCUCUUGUUUAAUCUCAACAGAUGAUAACCUAGAUCCAGUAUGUUUAUUUUUAAUCUAGGGUUUCAAUCAUAAAGAUGACCAAGAGAUUUCUUUGAUUAAUCUAUAGAAGGAUCAAAAUUUAAAAAUAUGUGAGAAGAAAGCAAAUCCAGGAUUUGGUUUUACUUAUUUCGGCUGAUUUGAUUUGGGGAUUUAGGGCAGUUAUUUCAAAUAGAAUUCACCGAUGUAUAGGUUUUCAUAUCGGCAGAUGAUAAUGAUCAAGGAUACCAUUUGUAUCAUCAAUCGUUAAUGUAAUAAAUAAAGUCUGGAUGACUUGCGGAGCAAAAAGAGCAGAAAAGUAGUGAAA